RNAcentral lists this ribosomal RNA (253 nucleotides) under uncultured bacterium. RNAcentral's name for it is "partial 16S ribosomal RNA". It matches the Rfam family "Bacterial small subunit ribosomal RNA", at positions 524 to 776 of the family's 1533-position model. The record is from RNAcentral.
UACGUAGGCAGCGAGCGUUGUUCGGAGUUACUGGGCGUAAAGGGUGCGUAGGCGGUUUUCCAAGUUUGGUGUGAAAUCUCCCGGCUCAACUGGGAGGGUGCGCCGAAAACUAGGAGACUUGAGUACCGGAGAGGUAAGCGGAAUUCCUGGUGUAGCGGUGAAAUGCGUAGAGAUCAGGAGGAACACCUGUGGUGUAGACAGCUUACUGGACGGCAACUGACGCUGAGGCACGAAAGCGUGGGUAGCAAACAGG